UCCUCUUCUGCUUUUCUUUCUUUCUUGUUUCUUCUUCCCCUCGUGUACCUUUGGCUUCUCCGUCAGCGUAUUGGAAUGGCGGAGUCGACUGAGCAUCAGCAACUGGCGGCCAUUCUCGGUCCUGAGCCCGCCGCCACUUUCCAAACCGUAAUCUCCCACUUAAUCUCCUCCCCCUCCUCUUUGCAAACCCUAAUCUCCGACCUCAUCUCCUCCGAGAAGCGGUCCGAGGCCGAGCUCGUCUUCAACAUCUGCAAGCAGGCCGAUCAGGAGUCGCUUUCUCUCAAACUCGCUCAGCUUCUCCAGGUCUCUCCCGACGAGAAGACACGAACCAUGUCCUCCAUUCUCCUCCGGAAGCAACUACUCACCCGCGACCUGUGGCGAAUACUCUCUCCUAACACCAUAUCCACCCUCAAACAUACUCUAUUAUCUUGUAUUCAACGCGAGGACACCCCAACAUCGAUUUCGAAGGCCAUCUCCUACGCCGUGUCGGAGCUUGCCUCCGCAGUGUUGUUCGUCGACGGCUGGCUGGAGCUCUUGCCCUUUCUGUUCCAAUCCACCUCUUACGAUGCGCCGCCGAAGCUUCAGGAAUGUUCCUUCUUGAUUUUCGCUCAGCUCUCGUACUUCUUUACCCCGUUUAAGAAGGAAUUACACACCGUCUUCUUGUACUGCUUGAGCUCCUCCACAAGGUCAGAUGCAGUUAAGAUAGCUGCGUUUAGUGCUGUGGUCAAUUUCAUUCGGUGUUUGCCCUACUCUGAAGAUGAGGAUAGGUUUCACGACGUCUUGAUUGAAAUGAUGAGAACAGUGAUGGGGAAAUUGAACAAAGGGAAGGAGAUCAUGGCACAGGAAGCGAUCAAGUUGUUCAUUGAAUUGGCCGGGACCCAUCCGUCGUUGCUCAGCCGCAACGGGCAGAUCAUCCGGGCUAUGCUGCAGAUUGCUGAAGCCAUAGAUGUCUUGGAACAAGGGACGAGGCACUUGGCCAUUGAGUUUCUGAUUACUCUGGCCGAGGCCGGAGAGCGUGCACCAUGGAUAAUGAGGAGGUGUCGGGAGUUUGUUGGUCUACUUUUUCCCAUUUUAAUGAGGAUGGUUUCAAAUGUCAAGGAUGAUCCCUCAUGGCAUACAGCUGAGACUGAUGAUGACAUUGCCUUGGGUGUAAGUGGUGACUACUGUGUUGGGCAGGAGUGUUUGCAUAGGCUUGCCAUUGCCUUGGGUGGCGAUAACAUUGUUCCAAUUGCGUUAGAACACUUUACUGCCCAUUUUGCUGCACCCGAGUGGCCCAAGCAUCAUGCAGCAUUGAUUGCCCUUGCUCAAAUCGCUGAGGGUUGCUCUGAGAUAAUGAUAAAAGAUUUGGAGCAGGUGGUGCCAAUGGUUUUGAACUCCUUUAAACAUCCACAUAUUCGGGUAAGGUGGUCAGCUAUUAAUGCAGUUGGCCAGUUGUCUACUUAUUUGGCCCCAGACCUGCAAGUUCAAUAUCAUCAACAGGUGUUUUUUGCACUGAAUGCCACUAUAUAUGGGUUGCAGAACCGUCGUCUACUGGCACAUGCAGCUUCAGCACUGCGAAAAUUCAUUGAGAAAUGUGCUAGGGAUAUCUUGACACCUUAUUUGGAUGAAGUGGUUUCCCAAUUGGUUGUACUUUUGCAGAGUGAGAUACAAAUGGUGCAAGUAGAAGCAUCGACUGCUUUGUCAUCAGUUGUUGUUUCAUUUCCGGAGCAAUUCCAAAAAUACUAUGAAGAUGUCAUGAUUCCCCUGAGAGUUAUGUUGUUGGAUGCCACUAAUAACCCGGUUUGGUCCAAGUCCGUGGCGUGUAUUAGCUUGGUUGGUAUGGCUGUUGGAAAGGAGAAAUUCAGGGAUGAUGCUAAGAAAGUCAUGGAAGUGCUGAUGUCUUUGCAAGGAUCUCAAAUGGAGCCAGAUGACCUAACUACAAGUUGCAUGCUACAGAUAUGCGCUGACCUCUGCAAGUGUCUAGGACAAGAUUUCCUUCCGUACAUGAGUGCUGUUAUGCCUCCUUUGCUUCAGUUUGUUCAAAUUAAGCCUGUUGAAACUGUUACCUCUGCAAAUGACAAUUGUGAUAUGGAUGAAUCUGAUGAUGAAAGUUUGGAAACAAUUACUCAUGGAGAUAAAAGGAUUAGAAUCAAGACUAGUGUAUUGGAGGAAAAAGUUACAGCUUGCAAUUUGCUGUGUUGCUAUGCUGAUGAACUGAAGGAAGGAUUCUUUCCAUGGAUCGAUCAGGUUGCCCCAACGUUAGUUCCACUUAUAUUUUAUAUCCAUGAAAAUGUGAGGAAGUCUGCUGUUUCAGCAAUGCUGAAGCUACUGCUUACUGCAAAGUUAGCUGUAGACAGAAGGCAAGCUGAAGGUUGUAAUGAAAAGUAUUUAAAGCGAUUGACUGACUACAUCAUUGGAGCUCUGAAGUUACGUAAGGAAGAUGACUCUGAAAUCUGCAUAAAUAUAUUGGAUGCUAUAAAUGAAUUUAUACAGGUCUGGACACACACGCGCGCACACACAGACACGCACUGGUCUGGAUGCAGUCUGGAUCAGAAGUGGAUGUCUGCAAAGACGCAAAAGUGCGGACGCGGCUAAGGGCAUUGUGGAUGGUGGUGCUGGUCUUGCGGGUGCCGAACCAGGCCUCCAUCCUUAGCUUCUUGCCCGUAGACUUCUGUGUUGAGCUCGAAGUUGAGAUUGAGGUGCUGGAGGUUUUGGGUGAACUUCCCAUGCGGACUUUCAACCUCGAUCACUUUUUCCUCCAUAAUGGUGGACGCCAUCCGGGAUGUUAGUAGUCUCCGAGGACAGAAUCUGCGCACCAUCCGCACCGCCCCGAGCUGCGUCUGCGUUUUCAAUUUUCUCAUCAGAUCUUUGCAUCCACUCUAGAUGAAAGCCAUGUCAAAUCCAUCAAGGAGAUAAAGCAGGUGAGUAUUCGUUCAAGUAAGAAAAGAAAGAGAGCAGAAAGGACCUCAGCAUAUGAUUUUGAUGAUGAGGAAAGG
This is an RNA transcript of Rosa chinensis, 2975 nucleotides long. It is a transcript of the gene named importin-5-like, with no coding region annotated. The transcript is spliced from 12 exons. Lineage: Eukaryota; Viridiplantae; Streptophyta; Magnoliopsida; Rosales; Rosaceae. The record is from RefSeq and is a predicted model, not a curated record.